CAGCAGCCACGGGAAUACAGAGGGUGCGAGCGUUAAUCGGAUUUACUGGGCGUAAAGCGUGCGUAGGCGGCUUCUUAAGUCGGAUGUGAAAUCCCUGAGCUUAACUUAGGAAUUGCAUUCGAUACUGGGAAGCUAGAGUAUGGGAGAGGAUGGUAGAAUUCCAGGUGUAGAGGUGAAAUGCGUAGAGAUCUGGAGGAAUACCGAUGGCGAAGGCAGCCAUCUGGCCUAAUACUGACGCUGAGGUACGAAAGCAUGGGGAGCAAACAGGAUUAGAUACCCGCGUAGUCCCUGUCUCUUAUAA
RNAcentral lists this ribosomal RNA (301 nucleotides) under uncultured bacterium. Its description in RNAcentral is "partial 16S ribosomal RNA". It matches the Rfam family "Bacterial small subunit ribosomal RNA", at positions 509 to 809 of the family's 1533-position model. The record is from RNAcentral.